This 253-nucleotide ribosomal RNA is filed under the name uncultured bacterium. Its description in RNAcentral is "partial 16S ribosomal RNA". It matches the Rfam family "Bacterial small subunit ribosomal RNA", at positions 524 to 776 of the family's 1533-position model. The record is from RNAcentral.
UACAGAGGUCCCAAGCGUUGUUCGGAUUCACUGGGCGUAAAGGGUGCGUAGGCGGUCUGGUAAGUCUGAUGUGAAAUCUCACAGCUUAACUGUGAAACUGCAUUGGAUACUAUCCGGCUCGAGGAAUGGAGGGGAGACUGGAAUACUUGGUGUAGCAGUGAAUUGCGUAGAUAUCUAGUGGAACACCAGUGGCGAAGGCGAGUCUCUGGACAUUUCCUGACGCUGAGGCACGAAAGCCAGGGGAGCAAACGGG